RNAcentral lists this unclassified non-coding RNA (271 nucleotides) under Peniophora albobadia. RNAcentral describes it as "partial internal transcribed spacer region". The stretch from base 1 to 46 matches the Rfam family "Eukaryotic small subunit ribosomal RNA", at positions 1786 to 1831 of the family's 1831-position model. Lineage: Eukaryota; Fungi; Basidiomycota; Agaricomycetes; Russulales; Peniophoraceae. The record is from RNAcentral.
AAGUCGUAACAAGGUUUCCGUAGGUGAACCUGCGGAAGGAUCAUUAGCGAAGUUCGGAAUGCAUGUUCGACGUUGAUGCUGCCCAGCAAUGGGAUGUGCUCGCUCGGAUGUGUGUCCCUUCUCUAUCCACCCCAUUGUGAACCAAGUGUGUGAGCCGAAGAGAAAUCGGACGCUCGCAUGCAAACCUUUAACAUACCCCAAUGAAGUAUCAGAAUGUACCUUGCGUUAACUCGCACAAAUAUAACUUUCAACAACGGAUCUCUUGGCUCUC